Molecule: ribosomal RNA, 440 nt
Filed under: uncultured bacterium
Lineage: Bacteria
Description: partial 16S ribosomal RNA
Rfam family: Bacterial small subunit ribosomal RNA
Source: RNAcentral
CCUACGGGAGGCAGCAGUAGGGAAUAUUGCUCAAUGGGGGAAACCCUGAAGCAGCAACGCCGCGUGGAGGAUGAAGGUUUUCGGAUUGUAAACUCCUUUUGUUAGAGAAGAUAAUGACGGUAUCUAACGAAUAAGCACCGGCUAACUCCGUGCCAGCAGCCGCGGUAAUACGGAGGGUGCAAGCGUUACUCGGAAUCACUGGGCGUAAAGAGGGCGUAGGCGGGAUAGAAAGUCAGAUGUGAAAUCCUAUGGCUUAACCAUAGAACUGCAUUUGAAACUGUUCUUCUAGAGAUUGGGAGAGGUAGGUGGAAUGCUUGGUGUAGGGGUAAAAUCCGUAGAGAUCAAGAGGAAUACUCAUUGCGAAGGCGACCUGCUAGAACAUAACUGACGCUGAUGCGCGAAAGCGUGGGGAGCAAACAGGAUUAGAUACCCGGGUAGUC